Molecule: ribosomal RNA, 354 nt
Filed under: Hydaticus aruspex
Lineage: Eukaryota; Metazoa; Arthropoda; Insecta; Coleoptera; Dytiscidae
Description: partial 12S ribosomal RNA
Source: RNAcentral
UUUAAAUGUAAAAUAAAAAUACUAAAGUAGUAAUAGUUAAGUUCUUUAAAUUUAAAGAUUUUGGCGGUAUUUUAGUCUAUUCAGAGGAACCUGUUCUGUAAUUGAUAGUCCACGAUUAACUUAACUUAAUUUAAAAAUUUGUAUAUCGUCGUUUUUAAUAAUUUUAUAAGAAUUUAAAUUUUUAAGAUUUUCUAUUAAAAAAUAUAUCAGAUCAAGGUGCAGUUUAUAAUUAAGUAGAAAUGGGUUACAAUAAAUUUAUUUAUACGGAUAAAUAUAUAAGAAUUAUUAUUUUGAAGGAGGAUUUGAUAGUAAUAAAGUUUAUUUAAAUUUUAUGAUUUUAGCUCUAAAAUAUGU